Molecule: ribosomal RNA, 253 nt
Filed under: uncultured bacterium
Lineage: Bacteria
Description: partial 16S ribosomal RNA
Rfam family: Bacterial small subunit ribosomal RNA
Source: RNAcentral
UACGGAGGGCGCAAGCGUUGUUCGGAAUCACUGGGCGUAAAGCGCACGUAGGCGGCUUCUUAAGUCAGGGGUGAAAUCCUGGGGCUCAACCCCAGAACUGCCCUUGAUACUGAGGAGCUUGAGUCCGGGAGAGGUGAGUGGAACUCCGAGUGUAGAGGUGAAAUUCGUAGAUAUUCGGAAGAACACCAGUGGCGAAGGCGGCUCACUGGCCCGGUACUGACGCUGAGGUGCGAAAGAGUGGGGAGCAAACAGG